This 239-nucleotide ribosomal RNA is filed under the name uncultured bacterium. RNAcentral's name for it is "partial 16S ribosomal RNA". It matches the Rfam family "Bacterial small subunit ribosomal RNA", at positions 15 to 236 of the family's 1533-position model. The record is from RNAcentral.
GAUCCUGGCUCAGGAUGAACGCUGGCGGCGUGCUUAACACAUGCAAGUCGAGCGAAGCACUUAAGUUUGAUUCUUCGGAUGAAGACUUUUGUGACUGAGCGGCGGACGGGUGAGUAACGCGUGGGUAACCUGCCUCAUACAGGGGGAUAACAGUUAGAAAUGACUGCUAAUACCGCAUAAGACCACGGUACCGCAUGGUACAGUGGUAAAAACUCCGGUGGUAUGAGAUAGACCCGCGU